UACGAAGGGAGCUAGCGUUGUUCGGAAUCACUGGGCGUAAAGCGCACGUAGGCGGAUGUGUCAGUCAGGGGUGAAAUCCCGGAGCUCAACUUCGGAACUGCCCUUGAUACAGCACGUCUUGAGUCCGAGAGAGGUGGAUGGAAUUCCUAGUGUAGAGGUGAAAUUCGUAGAUAUUAGGAAGAACACCGGUGGCGAAGGCGGUCCACUGGCUCGGUACUGACGCUGAGGUGCGAAAGCGUGGGGAGCAAACAGGAUUAGAAACCCCAGUAGUCC
Molecule: ribosomal RNA, 273 nt
Filed under: uncultured bacterium
Lineage: Bacteria
Description: partial 16S ribosomal RNA
Rfam family: Bacterial small subunit ribosomal RNA
Source: RNAcentral